CCCUUAGAUGUUCUGGGCCGCACGCGCGCUACACUGAUGCGUUCAACAAGUUUCCUUGGCCGAGAGGCCUGGGCAAUCUUCUUGAUAUGUAUCGUGAUAGGGAUAGAUUAUUGCAAUUAUUAAUCUUGAACGAGGAAUUCCUAGUAAACGCAGAUCAUCAAUCUGCAUUGAUUACGUCCCUGCCCUUUGUACACACCGCCCGUCGCACCUACCGAUUGGAUGUUCCGGUGAAGCCUCGGGAUGAGGACUGGUGCCUUUAUUGGCAUGAGUUGUUCAGAACUUGUCUAAACCUUAUCAUCUAGAGGAAGGUGAAGUCGUAACA
Molecule: ribosomal RNA, 322 nt
Filed under: uncultured eukaryote
Lineage: Eukaryota
Description: partial 18S ribosomal RNA
Rfam family: Eukaryotic small subunit ribosomal RNA
Source: RNAcentral